CAGAGUGCGGGCUCCCCGCGAGCCCUAUCUCCCACCCGUGUCUACCGUUACCGCGUUGCUUUGGCGGGCCCACUGGGGCCUCGUCCUCGGUCGCUGGGGGGCUCCCGUCCCCGGGCCCGUGCCCGCCGAAGCGCCUCUGAACCCCGUGUGAACAGUGAGUCUGAGUCUCUAUUGAAUUAUUA
This 182-nucleotide unclassified non-coding RNA is filed under the name uncultured Talaromyces. RNAcentral describes it as "sequence contains ITS1". Lineage: Eukaryota; Fungi; Ascomycota; Eurotiomycetes; Eurotiales; Trichocomaceae. The record is from RNAcentral.